CCUACGGGUGGCAGCAGUGAGGAAUAUUGGUCAAUGGCCGAGAGGCUGAACCAGCCAAGUCGCGUGAGGGAAGACGGCCCUACGGGUUGUAAACCUCUUUUGUCGGGGAGCAAAGAGAGUCACGUGUGACUCAUUGAGAGUACCCGAAGUAAAAGAAUCGGCUAACUCCGUGCCAGCAGCCGCGGUAAUAAGGAGGAUGCGAGCGGUAUCCGGAUUUAUUGGGUUUAAGGGGUCCGCAGGCGGAGGUGCAAGUCAGCGGUCAAAUUGCGGGGCUCAACCCCGUACUGCCGUUGACACUAUAUCCCUUGAGUGCGAGAGAGGUAUGCGGAAUGCGAGGUGUAGCGGUGAAAUGCGUAGAUAUCACGCAGAACUCCGAUUGCGAAGGCAGCAUACCGGCGCGCAACUGACGCUCAUGCACGAAAGCGUGGGUAUCGAACAGGAUUAGAUACCCUUGUAGUC
Molecule: ribosomal RNA, 459 nt
Filed under: uncultured bacterium
Lineage: Bacteria
Description: partial 16S ribosomal RNA
Rfam family: Bacterial small subunit ribosomal RNA
Source: RNAcentral